Molecule: RNA transcript, 3288 nt
Organism: Ostrea edulis (European flat oyster)
Lineage: Eukaryota; Metazoa; Mollusca; Bivalvia; Ostreida; Ostreidae
Exons: 14
Source: RefSeq, a predicted model, not a curated record
AAAUUGUCCUACCUGUAUUUUUAAAUACCCACAAUAUUUUUGUUUGUUGCGAAUUUUUAAGGAAAAACUGGAAAACCCAGGGUCAUGUACUUUUUCUUCUUUACUUAUGAGAACAGUAAAGGAAUGCUAGAUAGCACCAAAUACUCCAUAUCAUUAGCAGUUCGUUUGGAGUUAAUUGAAGUUUCACGAUGGAGAUUCCUUCUGUGUUGUUGGUCAUUGCUGUUGUCGUUUCUUCUUACAAGGUUGGAGGGAAAACUUCCAGAAUGUGUUUGGCCUCUGUGCCAACAAUUACACACGUCUCUAGAUGUCCGACAACAGAAGAAGAAUUUAGAAUGGCUGAACGACGCAAAAGUUGUGUUCAUAUCAAACAGAACUGCACAGGCAAAACUGGAUUCAAAUACCAUUGCGUCAUCAACGAGUAUGGUAACAACUCCUUGGAAGUAUGUGCACCCACCUGGUAUAUUUCAGGUUUCUGUACGGAGUACAAUGUAAAGGGAAGAGUGAUUCAGGACCAUUACAGAAAAGACUGCACGACAUUUAACAAAGAUCCUUGUCCAAGUCGAUAUUUGUCAACCGGUUCCUACAAAUAUUCUGAAUGCUUCAAGAACUCUUUAUCAAGCAACUUGAAUUCCAAUUUACAACAGGAGGGACGAAUAUCUCCCACUGACAAUGACAAAACAUUUCUGAUCGUGGACAUUUCACUGGGGAUGAUAGUGAUUAUUCAGAUAUUCGUCUGCAUUUUGCUGAUUUUUAGAAAUAGAAGUAGAAAUGAUAUACGGGAAUACGUUCGUCAGAAAUUAGGGUGGUUUAAGAAAGACAGUAAAACGACAUAUGAUGAACAUGGUUCCGAAUCAUUACACAGGUCAUAUCGCGGUUUGGAAAGUAGAGAGGAGUUCACAGCACAGAGCAGGAUGGAUCCUGAACGUCCUCUCAUGCCACUUCCACAAAAUCAAAUUGGAGUCAGUUCUAAACAAGCUACUGCAUACAUUGAUCACCAGGGCACUAAACAAGAGAUAUCCACUGCUACUGCAUGCAUUGAUCCCCCGGGCACAGAGGAAAUCCCGUGUAGUUAUCAGAAUGAUGGCGGCUUUGUUAAGAAAAUGAAAACUUUCUUUGACGGAAAUGGAAGAUCUGAUAUGAAUACACAGUCAGAAGAUAACAUCUAUCAGACAAUUGGGCAUGCACGGACCCUUGGACAAACCAAUGGUGGGACCAGGUGCCUAGGAGGAGUAAGCAUCCCCUGUCGACCGGUCACACCCGCCAUGAGCCCUAUAUCCUGAUCAGGAAGUUAAUGAGGAGGAAAACAGUUAUCAAGACACUGGAUGAAUUAGCAUAUCUAGAUCCUGGAUAAUACCACAAAACCACAUGACAGGGAGAUAUAGGAAAACUUUAAAACGUUGUCAUUUUACUUAUGAAUGUCCUUCUAGUAAUUUCAAUCUUACUUGUGAUGGAAUAACUUUUGAUAAGUUAGGGAUAUAGAAUGAGAAGAUUUAUAUGAAUAUCUAUAUGAAUGUUUAAAUCAUGAUGAAAUUUCUAUUGCCAGAAUGUGAUAUUUCUGCUAUCUAUAGCAUACACUGUACGAAGUCCGAUAUUUCAAUUCACGUAUUGUAGGAUUUUUAUCAUGAUCCGGUUUUAGAUAAGAAAAAAGAGAAUUCUUGUACAGUUAGUUAUUUUAUUACGGAUGGUUCCUGUAGAGAAGUGAUGGAACUGUGAACGCCGAUCCUUUGUGAUGUGAAUCUCUCAAGGACUCACUAGACAUUUUGGUCAAAAUAUGGUUAUCAUGAUCAUAAAGCACAGAAAGUAAAUAUAAUGUUAAAAAAAACUUUUAAAGUACUUACAAAUGAUAAUUAAUAGAAAAAGAAAACAAACAAUAAAAUAACACACAUAUAUAUAUAUAUAUAUAAAGUCUGUAAAACAAUAUGGCAUGUAAAAACAAAUUCUUAUGAGUGAAAUUUUAUGGAGUCUCCAAUGCAUAUCAAUAUUGUGAUGACAUUGCAAUGAGUGUAAUUUUUACAUAGAAGUUUUGUUGAAAUUAAUUUUGCAUGCAUGACAAACUACUUCAAAUCAUCUAUUUUUUUACGAUAUGCGUGGAUGGCUAAUGAAUAAUUAAUUUGAUGAUAUGCAUAGUUUGAUUCUGUUAAAUGCAUAUUUUCCUAUACAUGUUAUUCAACAAUAAAACAUGGAUUAUACUAAUGAAAACAUGUAGGUAUGUAUUGCUGAAUUUUGAAUACUUUCUAGAUACAAUGAACUCAUUUGUUAGAAAAACAAUAUCUAGCUUUCUCAAUGAUCAUUAUGAGGGUUCUGUAAUUGGCUAAAAUUUAAAUCACUACAUCGUCUUGCUAUAAAUCAUAAAUGCGUCCAGUUCGAUUCUACCGCUUCUGGUUCCAAGGGACACGUGGCGAGAUGAUGAAGUUGCAUAAUAAGUAUUUUGAAGAUAUUUUUUUUCACUAAUCGGAUAGAAUACCAGAUAAUGAUUAAGCUGCUUAUCUUGAGAAACAGUUCCGAAGAUAUUUGACGUUGGGAUGAACACAGACACACAUAUACAUGUAUAUAUAUCGGUGCUAAAUAUACGUAUUGUGGACGUGUCCAACUAACAAAUUCUUUUCAUGAUUUGCUUUUCCGAUUAUUCCCGCGUUACUGCAACUUAAAACAAAUCGCUUCAGAUCCCAUUUUUUGGCAACUGUCAUCUGACUGUACAAGUUAUUCGCCCUCUCUUACAGGUACUGGUAAUUAUUUGAGUAUUUUAUGUCUUAAUGUAUGUGGUUUAAGACCUAAACUUCUCAGCCCAGAAUUUCUAGACUUCAUAGAAAAAUACGAAAUUAUUUGUUUAGUUGAAUCAAAAACUGAUGGUACAGAUAUUUUAGACAUUUCAAAUUUUGAUUGUUACACAAAGCAUAGACACGAGUUAUCACGCUUUAAAUCUGGCUUAUUUAGAGAAAAAAAUUAUGAAAAUAUUGAUUAUGUAAAUGAAUUAUGUACUAUGUUUGACGAAAUACAUGUAUCUGACAUCUGGAAAAUAUUGAAUGGUAGAAAAACUCAGAAAACUGUUGAUAAAACUAGCAUAGAUGAACUUUUAAACUUUUUUAAAGAAUUGAAUGAGGAAGAUGAAUCAGUUGUACCAGAUUGUUUGUUUUGUGAACAUGAUUUGAAUAUUAUGUUAUCCCAUAUUGAAUCAAAUACUUUUAUUAAUUCACCUAUUACUAAAGAUGAAAUAUUACAAUGUAUAAAAUCAUUGAAGCGUAACAAAUCAUCAGGUUGUGACCAUAUUGUUAAUGAAUACAUCAAAUC